AUAACUGGUUUGUGGAGAGCUCCUCCAUAACACCCACAUCCUCAAUCUCCAAAGCUACCUUGAGUGCCACAAUCCUAUCUGAUAGCUUGGUCGGUGUCAUGCAUUGAUGCAGCAAUCAAACAAUUCUAGCAAAGAGCUACUUUAUGAAAAUGAUCUGGAUGCCCCUCACCAUAGCCUCCACACCCCCUGAUCCUUAUCUAAGGCUUUUGUAGAACUCCCAAACAAGACUAGAGU
Molecule: long non-coding RNA, 234 nt
Filed under: Elaeis guineensis (African oil palm)
Lineage: Eukaryota; Viridiplantae; Streptophyta; Magnoliopsida; Arecales; Arecaceae
Description: long non-coding RNA (EGUI_LNC056196)
Source: RNAcentral